Ipomoea triloba (trilobed morning glory) is the source of this 1440-nucleotide long non-coding RNA. RefSeq lists it as uncharacterized. Lineage: Eukaryota; Viridiplantae; Streptophyta; Magnoliopsida; Solanales; Convolvulaceae. The transcript has 5 exons. The record is from RefSeq and is a predicted model, not a curated record.
AUUCCCAUUCGUGAGUUCAAGAGGAGAGGAGAGAGAGUGAAUUCAUCUUCUUCACCAAUCUUCAAGAUCCAUAGCCAAAUUUCCUUCUCAACUCUCAAUUUGUUCGGAUUUAAGGUGAAAUUUGGGGAAAAUCAUCCAAGAUCACUUCUAAGGAAUUGUUGACCACUUUGAGAGAAGUAAACAGAAUAAUUUUUUUUGUUUUCUUUACCCCUCAUUUCUUGUUGGAGCUCAUAUUCACCUUGCUGUUGCCGUGGAUGGGUUUGGCUAGUUAUUUGAUGUUGUCUUUAUCAUAUAUUUUGAAGACUCACAGGUUGUGAAGCGGCGUAAAAUUCUCACCUAUCAGAAUGGAUGCAAGCCAUGCCGCUGUUUACAGGUUGCAAAGCAGUGUAGAGUUCGAAGGUUUCAGGGAAUUUGAGGUAUAUUAUGGUGUUCAAACUCGUGGAGAAAGGCUGCAUUUUAUGUGCACUCAGAAAAGCACUUUCAAAAAAGAAAGGUCCGUGACUACAAUAAUUAAAGCAUUAGUAUGAGACAAGUUCUCUUAACAUAUUUUCCCAUAACUUGCGGUAUUGUGUUCCUUUUCAUUGUCAGUUAAAUAUUAUGUUAUUUAUAUGUUUUGGAAUAUUGUGUUUGGUGCCCGACGUUACCCGUUCGAAAUGAUAUAAUUAUAGAGUUUUUUAAAAAAAGUUGGUAGUUGGGCCCACAAAGAUGGUACUGAAGAAACGAUAAUAUAUUUCUCCAUAUAUUCUUUUGUAUGUUUAUUUAUUAAAAAUUGUAAUGUGGCAGACAUUGCUUUGGGAAUUGGCCUACCACAAAGGUAAAAACACUAUAGUGGCACAAGAUCCAAACUAUUUUUUAUAAUAAUGUGUCAAGACAUUUUGUUCGUAAUUGGUCCACCACAAAAGCAAAAACACUAUAGCGUCACAAGACCCAAACUAUUUUUGUAAUCACUAUAAUAUAAUAUUGAAGCCUAAAUUAUGUUUAGAUAGUGUGCGUAUAUAAUAUCCAAAGCAGGCCCAUGAAAAUAGUGUCAAAGUUGUAUUUAAGCAGCCUGAAAUUGGAAGGUCGAUCAUCGGCAAGGGCAAAUAUGGCAUUCUGUUUGCAAAGCACAUCAAUAAAAGCACAAGGUACAAAGAAAUGUCAUCGGAAAAAGUCUUGGGCAAAUUAUACUGAGCUUUUAUAUGUUAUAGUGAUAAUAUAGUUCAAUAACAACUAUGAUGGUAAUGUUAAAAUAGGAAUAGAAAAUGUGUUGGUGUAAUUGUUUGUACUUUGUGUUUUCUUUGUUAUGUUGUAAUUUUGUUGAAGUUGGGUGGCUAAGUAAAACCACUCACGAAACGAAAUUAGGCAUUUCCUUAUGAUUUUAAAAUGGUGAAGCCCUACCAACUCCUUUUCUCAAUUUGAUUUAUUGAUGAAAAGCUUAAUGGAGUUUUGCUUUGAUUGUUA